AGCAGCCACCAUUUAAAAAGUGCGUAACAGCUUACUGGUCGAGCAAUUUUGCGCCGAUAAUGAACGGGAGUAAGUUUUACACCGAAGCAGUGGGAUCCACUUUGUGGAUCGGUAGGAGAGCGCUGUACGUCAGAUACAAGUCGCACCGAAAGGAGCGAUGGUGGGGCGUACAGGUGAUUAUGCCGGAAUGAGUAACGAUAAAGCAGGUGAGAAUCCUGCUCGCCGAAAGCCUAAGGUUUCCUGGGGAAGGUAAAUCCGCCCAGGGUUAGCCGGUUCCUUAGUCGAGGCCGAAAGGCGUAGACGAUGGAUAGCAGGUCAACAUUCCUGCGCCACAUGCCGGACUGAUGGAGGGACGGCGUCUGAAAGGUGAGGGGACGGAUAGAAAUGUCCCUCGCCUGUGUGGAGGGUAGCUGUAGGCAAAUCCGCAGCGACAUCCUGAAGCAUGGGACAAAGACGUUUAUGUUUCGAUAGUCAUCAGAAGGACGUCCAAGAAAAGCUUCUAGGGUUGAUGGCAUGUGACCGUACUAAAACUGACACAGGUAGGCGGGACGAGAAGUCCUAGGCGCUCGGGAGAACACUGGUUAAGGAACUCUGCAAAAUGGCCCCGUAAGUUCGCGAUAAGGGGUGCCCUCUUUGGUUUACGCUGAGGAGGGUCACAGUAAAUCGGCAUCAGCGACUGUUUAUCAAAAACACAGGACUCUGCUAACUCGCAAGAGGAUGUAUAGAGUCUGACGCCUGCCCGGUGCUGGUAGGUUAAGGAAGAGGGUUAGCCGUAAGGCAAAGCUCGCGACCGAAGCCCCAGUAAACGGCGGCCGUAACUAUGACGGUCCUAAGGUAGCGAAGUUCCUUGUCGGGUAAGUUCCGACCUGCAUGAAAGGCGUAACGACUGAUGCACUGUCUCAACCAGUGACCCGGUGAAAUUGUAGCCGUGGUGAAGAUGCCACGUACCCGCAGUAUGACGGAAAGACCCCGUGAACCUUUACUGUAGGCUGAUAUUGGUCUUGGACGUGUUCUGUGUAGGAUAGGUGGGAGGCUUUGAAGCAGUGACGCUAGUCAUUGUGGAGCCAACGUUGAAAUACCACCCUGGAUUCGUUUGAGUUCUAACGCUGAUUCCCGUGAAACCGGGCAGCGGACAGUUUCAGUUGGGCAGUUUGACUGGGGCGGUCUCCUCCCAAAGAGUAACGGAGGAGUUCAAAGGUACCCUCAGCCUGGUUGGCAAUCAGGCAUUGAGCGCAAAGGUAGAAGGGUGCUUGACUGCGAGACUCAUAAGUCGAGCAGAUACGAAAGUAGGACUUAGUGAUCCGGUGGUUCUGAAUGGAAGGGCCAUCGCUCAUCAGAUAAAAGGUACUCCGGGGAUAACAGGCUUAUCGCUUCCGAGCGUCCAUAGCGGCGAAGCGGUUUGGCACCUCGAUGUCGGCUCAUCACAUCCUGGGGGUGGAGAAGCUCCCAAGGGUUUGGCUGUUCGCCAAUGAAAGUGGUACGUGAGCUGGGUUCAGACCGUCGUGAGACAGGUCGGUCCCUAUCUGCUGUGGGCGUACGAAACUUGCGAGGAUUCUUCUUUAGUACGAGAGGAUUUGGAAGGACGUUCCUCUGGUGUACCAGUUGUCGCGCUAGCGGCACGGCUGGAUAGCUAA
Molecule: ribosomal RNA, 1634 nt
Filed under: marine metagenome
Description: bacterial LSU rRNA
Rfam family: Bacterial large subunit ribosomal RNA
Source: RNAcentral